This is a non-coding RNA of Chelonoidis abingdonii (Abingdon island giant tortoise), 89 nucleotides long. NCBI's taxonomy places the organism in Eukaryota, Metazoa, Chordata, Testudines, Testudinidae. The record is from RefSeq and is a predicted model, not a curated record.
UUUACAAUCUUACUUGUACAGUCUGUCGCAUCUUAUGUGCAUUUAACACGCACUAUUUCAGCUUUACACGGUCGACAAAAACAAAACAA